This 1363-nucleotide ribosomal RNA is filed under the name uncultured bacterium. RNAcentral describes it as "bacterial SSU rRNA". It matches the Rfam family "Bacterial small subunit ribosomal RNA", at positions 28 to 1381 of the family's 1533-position model. The record is from RNAcentral.
AUUGAACGCUUGCGGCAGGCCUAACACAUGCAAGUCGAACGGUAGCACAGAGGAGCUUGCUCCUCGGGUGACGAGUGGCGGACGGGUGAGUAAUGUCUGGGAAACUGCCUGAUGGAGGGGGAUAACUACUGGAAACGGUAGCUAAUACCGCAUAACGUCGCAAGACCAAAGAGGGGGACCUUCGGGCCUCUUGCCAUCAGAUGUGCCCAGAUGGGAUUAGCUAGUAGGUGGGGUAAUGGCUCACCUAGGCGACGAUCCCUAGCUGGUCUGAGAGGAUGACCAGCCACACUGGAACUGAGACACGGUCCAGACUCCUACGGGAGGCAGCAGUGGGGAAUAUUGCACAAUGGGCGCAAGCCUGAUGCAGCCAUGCCGCGUGUAUGAAGAAGGCCUUCGGGUUGUAAAGUACUUUCAGCGGGGAGGAAGGCGUUGCGGUUAAUAACCGCAGCGAUUGACGUUACCCGCAGAAGAAGCACCGGCUAACUCCGUGCCAGCAGCCGCGGUAAUACGGAGGGUGCAAGCGUUAAUCGGAAUUACUGGGCGUAAAGCGCACGCAGGCGGUCUGUCAAGUCGGAUGUGAAAUCCCCGGGCUCAACCUGGGAACUGCAUUCGAAACUGGCAGGCUUGAGUCUUGUAGAGGGGGGUAGAAUUCCAGGUGUAGCGGUGAAAUGCGUAGAGAUCUGGAGGAAUACCGGUGGCGAAGGCGGCCCCCUGGACAAAGACUGACGCUCAGGUGCGAAAGCGUGGGGAGCAAACAGGAUUAGAUACCCUGGUAGUCCACGCUGUAAACGAUGUCGACUUGGAGGUUGUGCCCUUGAGGCGUGGCUUCCGGAGCUAACGCGUUAAGUCGACCGCCUGGGGAGUACGGCCGCAAGGUUAAAACUCAAAUGAAUUGACGGGGGCCCGCACAAGCGGUGGAGCAUGUGGUUUAAUUCGAUGCAACGCGAAGAACCUUACCUACUCUUGACAUCCACGGAACUUGCCAGAGAUGGCUUGGUGCCUUCGGGAACCGUGAGACAGGUGCUGCAUGGCUGUCGUCAGCUCGUGUUGUGAAAUGUUGGGUUAAGUCCCGCAACGAGCGCAACCCUUAUCCUUUGUUGCCAGCGGUUAGGCCGGGAACUCAAAGGAGACUGCCAGUGAUAAACUGGAGGAAGGUGAGGAUGACGUCAAGUCAUCAUGGCCCUUACGAGUAGGGCUACACACGUGCUACAAUGGCGCAUACAAAGAGAAGCGAACUCGCGAGAGCAAGCGGACCUCAUAAAGUGCGUCGUAGUCCGGAUCGGAGUCUGCAACUCGACUCCGUGAAGUCGGAAUCGCUAGUAAUCGUGGAUCAGAAUGCCACGGUGAAUACGUUCCCGGGCCU